UACGGGGGGGGCAAGCGUUGUUCGGAAUUACUGGGCGUAAAGGGCUCGUAGGCGGCCAACUAAGUCGGACGUGAAAUCCCUCGGCUCAACCGGGGAACUGCGUCCGAUACUGGAUGGCUUGAAUCCGGGAGAGGGAUGCGGAAUUCCAGGUGUAGCGGUGAAAUGCGUAGAUAUCUGGAGGAACACCGGUGGCGAAGGCGGCUUCCUGGACCGACACUGACGCUGAGGCGCGAAAGCUAGGGGAGCAAACGGG
Molecule: ribosomal RNA, 253 nt
Filed under: uncultured bacterium
Lineage: Bacteria
Description: partial 16S ribosomal RNA
Rfam family: Bacterial small subunit ribosomal RNA
Source: RNAcentral